This 122-nucleotide ribosomal RNA is filed under the name Microtus ochrogaster (prairie vole). The record is from RNAcentral. Lineage: Eukaryota; Metazoa; Chordata; Mammalia; Rodentia; Cricetidae.
AACUGCAGCCAUACCACCCUGAAUAUGCCCCCCCAUCUCGCCUGAUCUGGGAAGCUAAGCAGAGUGAGACCUUGUUAAUACUUGGGAGGAAAAACAAAGAUGGAAGCCAGGCUCUGUGUUGU